UACGUACUGUGCGAACGUUAUUCGGAAUCACUGGGCUUAAAGGGUGCGUAGGCGGUCGCUUAAGUAGGGUGUGAAAUCCCCCGGCUCAACCGGGGAACUGCGCUCUAAACUGGGUGGCUGGAGUGAGAUAGGGGUGUGCGGAACUUCCGGUGGAGCGGUGAAAUGUGUUGAUAUCGGAAGGAACGCCAGUAGCGAAAGCGGCACACUGGGUCUUAACUGACGCGGAGGCACGAAAGCUAGGGUAGCGAACGGG
RNAcentral lists this ribosomal RNA (253 nucleotides) under uncultured bacterium. Its description in RNAcentral is "partial 16S ribosomal RNA". It matches the Rfam family "Bacterial small subunit ribosomal RNA", at positions 524 to 776 of the family's 1533-position model. The record is from RNAcentral.